CUCUGUAAAUCCCCUGACCCACUGCUAGGGAGGAGAUGCUCAAAGGGACUUUGGGUAUGACCCCAACAGCUGCUCCUUGGUUAUCCAAAUGAUUUCCCAUGUGUACAGAGCCCCUCUGGCUGCAGCACUGCCCGGGGUGUGCAGCUCCCAGCCCCCAGGCACAGAGGGGUUAAUGAGCCAGGCAGCCCCGCAGAGCAGGGCAGGGCAGGAUCAGACACCAGAGCCAGCACUGCCACCUCCAAACCCCCACCUCCAUCCUCGGAAUGAAAUUAUUCCCGGGUGGAAGAAAAAGAAAGAAACAGAAAGACUAUCAAAAGCUUGGAAAUUGUUGAAGACGGUUCAUUUCAGUUUUCCCAUCCGAAAACCCUUUUCCUUUUGAUUUGGUCACCUAACCACGGAACUCUAAUGACAGCAGCUCCGUGACAUUUCCUCUCAGCACUUAGGAGGAGUUUUCCAAGGUCAGACAAAGGGGAUGAAACAAGAGAGUGGCACUUCUCAAUGUGCGUGGGGAUGAUUGAUCGCCCCAUCAGAUAUUAGAGAGACACGCUGUCCUUUCAUGUCCUGAUCAAAGGAGAACAUCCUGUGCCCCAGAUAUUCUCCAGAGUGCCUUCAUUUAACAGUUCCAAGGUCAGCUGAAGGAAAAUGUGGCAUCUUUUCCUCUGGCAGUCUCCAGCCCUGGUGCUCCACGUGGAAUGCUUUAGGAGAUGCACAUCCUCGGGAUGAAAAGGCUGACACUGACACCAGCAGCUCAGAGAAACAACAGCUCGGUGUAAAAGACAACCUUUGCUGAAAACAGUCCCUGGAACAGCCAGAGGGCCCUUCCAAGUUGUUCACGAAUUUUCUCUGAAGAGCAAUUAGAGAGCUAUUGUUCAAAGUGUGCUCAACAAGGAGGCAAUGAAGACCUCAAAGGGAAGAGGCAGAGCCUCUUGCCUUGAUAGAGGCACUCCAGAAACGAGCAGGGGGGAGGCAGGCACAGAGAGCAGGAAAACAAGAGAAGCUGAGACACUGCUCUGGGCUUGGGGGCUUUUUGAGUGGGUAUUUUUGGGGGGAGGAUUAAAAUAUUUCCAUCCAGAAAUGCAGUGGAACAAAA
Long non-coding RNA from Catharus ustulatus (Swainson's thrush), 1090 nucleotides. RefSeq lists it as uncharacterized. NCBI's taxonomy places the organism in Eukaryota, Metazoa, Chordata, Aves, Passeriformes, Turdidae. The record is from RefSeq and is a predicted model, not a curated record. The transcript has 2 exons.